RNAcentral lists this ribosomal RNA (1371 nucleotides) under uncultured bacterium. Its description in RNAcentral is "bacterial SSU rRNA". It matches the Rfam family "Bacterial small subunit ribosomal RNA", at positions 28 to 1381 of the family's 1533-position model. The record is from RNAcentral.
GAUGAACGCUGGCGGCGUGCCUAAUACAUGCAAGUCGAGCGAACGGACGAGAAGCUUGCUUCUCUGAUGUUAGCGGCGGACGGGUGAGUAACACGUGGAUAACCUACCUAUAAGACUGGGAUAACUUCGGGAAACCGGAGCUAAUACCGGAUAAUAUUUUGAACCGCAUGGUUCAAAAGUGAAAGACGGUCUUGCUGUCACUUAUAGAUGGAUCCGCGCUGCAUUAGCUAGUUGGUAAGGUAACGGCUUACCAAGGCAACGAUGCAUAGCCGACCUGAGAGGGUGAUCGGCCACACUGGAACUGAGACACGGUCCAGACUCCUACGGGAGGCAGCAGUAGGGAAUCUUCCGCAAUGGGCGAAAGCCUGACGGAGCAACGCCGCGUGAGUGAUGAAGGUCUUCGGAUCGUAAAACUCUGUUAUUAGGGAAGAACAUAUGUGUAAGUAACUGUGCACAUCUUGACGGUACCUAAUCAGAAAGCCACGGCUAACUACGUGCCAGCAGCCGCGGUAAUACGUAGGUGGGCAGCGUUAUCCCGAAUUUAUGGGCGUAAAGCGCGCGUAGGCGGUUUUUUAGUCUGAUGUGAAAGCCCACGGCUCAACCGUGGAGGGUCAUUGGAAACUGGAAAACUUGAGUGCAGAAGAGGAAAGUGGAAUUCCAUGUGUAGCGGUGAAAUGCGCAGAGAUAUGGAGGAACACCAGUGGCGAAGGCGACUUUCUGGUCUGUAACUGACGCUGAUGUGCGAAAGCGUGGGGAUCAAACAGGAUUAGAUACCCUGGUAGUCCACGCCGUAAACGAUGAGUGCUAAGUGUUAGGGGGUUUCCGCCCCUUAGUGCUGCAGCUAACGCAUUAAGCACUCCGCCUGGGGAGUACGACCGCAAGGUUGAAACUCAAAGGAAUUGACGGGGACCCGCACAAGCGGUGGAGCAUGUGGUUUAAUUCGAAGCAACGCGAAGAACCUUACCAAAUCUUGACAUCCUUUGACAACUCUAGAGAUAGAGCCUUCCCCUUCGGGGGACAAAGUGACAGGUGGUGCAUGGUUGUCGUCAGCUCGUGUCGUGAGAUGUUGGGUUAAGUCCCGCAACGAGCGCAACCCUUAAGCUUAGUUGCCAUCAUUAAGUUGGGCACUCUAAGUUGACUGCCGGUGACAAACCGGAGGAAGGUGGGGAUGACGUCAAAUCAUCAUGCCCCUUAUGAUUUGGGCUACACACGUGCUACAAUGGACAAUACAAAGGGCAGCGAAACCGCGAGGUCAAGCAAAUCCCAUAAAGUUGUUCUCAGUUCGGAUUGUAGUCUGCAACUCGACUACAUGAAGCUGGAAUCGCUAGUAAUCGUAGAUCAGCAUGCUACGGUGAAUACGUUCCCGGGUCU